Molecule: long non-coding RNA, 248 nt
Filed under: Homo sapiens (human)
Lineage: Eukaryota; Metazoa; Chordata; Mammalia; Primates; Hominidae
Description: HSALNT0308373
Source: RNAcentral
UCUGUGUCGGUGAAAGGGGAGAAACUGGCUGACUUGCGUCUGUUUUUAAUGAUGUCGCUGCUGCUGGGAAAAUUUGGAAGCUGCAGGACAUUAGAAAGGAUAUCGUGAACAGCCAUAUGAAGAGAUGGGCAAGCAUGUGCCGAGCUUCCGUGCCCUCUCUGGGCCUGCUGCCCUCCCACCUAGACACGCUCAGCAAUGCUGAAGCUUAUCAAUUCGUGGUCAACAGCUAAUAAAGAGCUUGAUCUCCA